UGCCAGCAGCCGCGGUAAGACGGAGGUGGCAAACGUUGCUCGGAAUCACUGGGCUUAAAGGGCGUGUAGGCUGCUGAUUAAGUCGGAUGUGAAAUCCCUCGGCUCAACCGAGGAACUGCAUUCGAUACUGGUCGGCUAGAGUGCGAGAGGGGCAAGUGGAACUCCAGGUGUAGCGGUGAAAUGCGUAGAUAUCUGGAGGAACGCCGGUGGCGAAAGCGACUUGCUGGCUCGCAACUGACGCUGAGGCGCGAAAGCUAGGGUAGCGAACGGGAUUAGAUA
RNAcentral lists this ribosomal RNA (279 nucleotides) under uncultured bacterium. RNAcentral describes it as "partial 16S ribosomal RNA". It matches the Rfam family "Bacterial small subunit ribosomal RNA", at positions 506 to 784 of the family's 1533-position model. The record is from RNAcentral.